This 1802-nucleotide ribosomal RNA is filed under the name Escherichia coli. RNAcentral's name for it is "partial 23S ribosomal RNA". It matches the Rfam family "Bacterial large subunit ribosomal RNA", at positions 418 to 2207 of the family's 2925-position model. The record is from RNAcentral. Lineage: Bacteria; Pseudomonadati; Pseudomonadota; Gammaproteobacteria; Enterobacterales; Enterobacteriaceae.
CGGGACACGUGGUAUCCUGUCUGAAUAUGGGGGGACCGUCCUCCAAGGCUAAAUACUCCUGACUGACCGAUAGUGAACCAGUACCGUGAGGGAAAGGCGAAAAGAACCCCGGCGAGGGGAGUGAAAAAGAACCUGAAACCGUGUACGUACAAGCAGUGGGAGCCUCUUUAUGGGGUGACUGCGUACCUUUUGUAUAAUGGGUCAGCGACUUAUAUUCUGUAGCAAGGUUAACCGAAUAGGGGAGCCGAAGGGAAACCGAGUCUUAACUGGGCGUUAAGUUGCAGGGUAUAGACCCGAAACCCGGUGAUCUAGCCAUGGGCAGGUUGAAGGUUGGGUAACACUAACUGGAGGACCGAACCGACUAAUGUUGAAAAAUUAGCGGAUGACUUGUGGCUGGGGGUGAAAGGCCAAUCAAACCGGGAGAUAGCUGGUUCUCCCCGAAAGCUAUUUAGGUAGCGCCUCGUGAACUCAUCUCCGGGGGUAGAGCACUGUUUCGGCAAGGGGGUCAUCCCGACUUACCAACCCGAUGCAAACUGCGAAUACCGGAGAAUGUUAUCACGGGAGACACACGGCGGGUGCUAACGUCCGUCGUGAAGAGGGAAACAACCCAGACCGCCAGCUAAGGUCCCAAAGUCAUGGUUAAGUGGGAAACGAUGUGGGAAGGCCCAGACAGCCAGGAUGUUGGCUUAGAAGCAGCCAUCAUUUAAAGAAAGCGUAAUAGCUCACUGGUCGAGUCGGCCUGCGCGGAAGAUGUAACGGGGCUAAACCAUGCACCGAAGCUGCGGCAGCGACACUAUGUGUUGUUGGGUAGGGGAGCGUUCUGUAAGCCUGCGAAGGUGUGCUGUGAGGCAUGCUGGAGGUAUCAGAAGUGCGAAUGCUGACAUAAGUAACGAUAAAGCGGGUGAAAAGCCCGCUCGCCGGAAGACCAAGGGUUCCUGUCCAACGUUAAUCGGGGCAGGGUGAGUCGACCCCUAAGGCGAGGCCGAAAGGCGUAGUCGAUGGGAAACAGGUUAAUAUUCCUGUACUUGGUGUUACUGCGAAGGGGGGACGGAGAAGGCUAUGUUGGCCGGGCGACGGUUGUCCCGGUUUAAGCGUGUAGGCUGGUUUUCCAGGCAAAUCCGGAAAAUCAAGGCUGAGGCGUGAUGACGAGGCACUACGGUGCUGAAGCAACAAAUGCCCUGCUUCCAGGAAAAGCCUCUAAGCAUCAGGUAACAUCAAAUCGUACCCCAAACCGACACAGGUGGUCAGGUAGAGAAUACCAAGGCGCUUGAGAGAACUCGGGUGAAGGAACUAGGCAAAAUGGUGCCGUAACUUCGGGAGAAGGCACGCUGAUAUGUAGGUGAAGUCCCUCGCGGAUGGAGCUGAAAUCAGUCGAAGAUACCAGCUGGCUGCAACUGUUUAUUAAAAACACAGCACUGUGCAAACACGAAAGUGGACGUAUACGGUGUGACGCCUGCCCGGUGCCGGAAGGUUAAUUGAUGGGGUCAGCGCAAGCGAAGCUCUUGAUCGAAGCCCCGGUAAACGGCGGCCGUAACUAUAACGGUCCUAAGGUAGCGAAAUUCCUUGUCGGGUAAGUUCCGACCUGCACGAAUGGCGUAAUGAUGGCCAGGCUGUCUCCACCCGAGACUCAGUGAAAUUGAACUCGCUGUGAAGAUGCAGUGUACCCGCGGCAAGACGGAAAGACCCCGUGAACCUUUACUAUAGCUUGACACUGAACAUUGAGCCUUGAUGUGUAGGAUAGGUGGGAGGCUUAGAAGUGUGGACGCCAGUCUGCAUGGAGCCGACCUUGAAAUACCACCCUU